This 253-nucleotide ribosomal RNA is filed under the name uncultured bacterium. Its description in RNAcentral is "partial 16S ribosomal RNA". It matches the Rfam family "Bacterial small subunit ribosomal RNA", at positions 524 to 776 of the family's 1533-position model. The record is from RNAcentral.
UACGUAGGGAGCAAGCGUUGUCCGGAAUCAUUGGGCGUAAAGCGCGCGUAGGUGGCUUCGUAAGUCCGUUGUGAAAGUCAAAGGCUCAACCUUUGAAAGCCGAUGGAUACUGCGGAGCUAGAGUACGGAAGAGGCGAGUGGAAUUCCUGGUGUAGCGGUGGAAUGCGCAGAUAUCGGGAGGAACACCAAUGGCGAAGGCAGCUCGCUGGGACGUGACUGACGCUGAGACGCGAAAGCGUGGGGAGCAAACAGG